This 492-nucleotide ribosomal RNA is filed under the name uncultured bacterium. RNAcentral's name for it is "partial 16S ribosomal RNA". It matches the Rfam family "Bacterial small subunit ribosomal RNA", at positions 28 to 507 of the family's 1533-position model. The record is from RNAcentral.
GACGAACGCUGGCGGCGUGCUUAACACAUGCAAGUCGAACGGAAAGGCCCCCACUUUUUUGGUGGGGGUGCUCGAGUGGCGAACGGGUGAGUAACACGUGGGUGAUCUGCCCUGUACUUCGGGAUAAGCUUGGGAAACUGGGUCUAAUACCGGAUAGGACCAUGGUUUAGUGUCUCAUGGUGGAAAAAUUAUUGUUUUGGUGCAGGAUGAGCUCGCGGCCUAUCAGCUUGUUGGUGGGGUAAUGGCCUACCAAGGCGUCGACGGGUAGCCGGCCUGAGAGGGUGGACGGCCACAUUGGGACUGAGAUACGGCCCAGACUCCUACGGGAGGCAGCAGUGGGGAAUAUUGCACAAUGGGCGCAAGCCUGAUGCAGCGACGCCGCGUGGGGGAUGACGGCCUUCGGGUUGUAAGCUCCUUUCGUUAGGGACGAAGCCGCACCUUUUUUGGGUGUGGUGACGGUACCUUUGUUAAGAAGCACCGGCUAACUACGUG